GUUCCAUGAGUGUGGAGGGGGACACUAAGGGAUAGGAGAUUCCACCUGUGGUCAGUGCGGCGCCAGCAGCUGGAGAUGUGAGUUGGGACCACUUUAGUGGGGGUUCAAAUGCAAGUUAAGGGAUUUGAAAGGGAGAGACGUCAUAGGGAGAGGAAGGCGUGGGCACAGGCCAUGUCUCCACUAGGCCUAAGUGUGUGUGUGUCAGUGUGUGUGUGUCUGUCUGUGUGUGUGUGUCUGUGUGUGUAGGGGGUAGUGCACAUGAAAUGUUGCAGAGCUCUUAUAUAUGUUGAGAUUGACAUCUAGAGCAUUUCAUCAUGAGUUUCAAUGUUUUAUUUUUUGAAUGGGAGGUAGAAAAUAUUAACAGGGUUAGGAAUGACUGACUGUACGUUUAUAAUGUGCUGUGUGAAAUGAUCUGAGAAAAUGGCUUCUAAAGCAUAUUCAAAAUGUACCUUGAAUCUUUGAAUCAGAAGGCCUUUUUUAAAAAGGAUCUGUGUGUCUUGGAAAUUUUUUGGUAGCCCCAGAAACAUCCCAGGUAUAUUUAAAGAAUCAUUGUCACUAACCUAUUACUGCUUUGCCUGUUCCUGAAUUCCUGUGGGCAAGCUUUACCCUUCACAGAAAUGUGGAUGAGGCUGAGAAACUCAAAAUGCAGUGUGAAAAAAUAUACCUCGUGGGUUUAAGGCACCCAGGUAAUCAUUCAAUGAGGUUUCCUGUAUUCCUGUAAUCUAACACCACUGCACACUCUCUUAUUCAUAAUUCUGAAAUUUAAAAAGCUCUGAACACUUAAGUUUGGCACCAUUCAGUGGCAAAACUAGACUAUGUAAGGUGGGACUAUUCAGUCACACUACCUUACCUCUUUAUUUCUCCUAUUUAAUGUGAAAAUUCAGACUUCUGCUGCAGAAUUAUUGAAGUGUUUGAUUAUGACUUGAAGCCCCUGAAUACACUGGGGGUGUUAGGUAAUAUGUGGGAGAUACCGAGAACUACACUUGUAAAAUAAAAUAAAAAAUUUCCAAAACACAUCUGGUCCCCAGGGAUUUCAGAUCAGGGCUUGCUGACCAGUCUUUCCAGUUUGUUUGGUGCCCUGGAUAUUUUAACCUCAUACCACCUACACUCUUGGGGCAAUGCUCCUCCUUAGAUGGGAGGUUGUUCUCUUUUUGCAAAGUGUAGAGGAGAGGAGGAUUAGGUCCUGAACACUAGGAUGGUUUUGCAGGCAGUUUUAGGAAUAGUAUAGAGGGAGUUGGGAGCUCUGGGAAUAGAUUCCUUUAGGACAGUCCAUGCAGCAGAUCCUACUUUGAGUUCUUUUGCUCCAGGAGUGGACUUGGAUAGUGAGCAUUGGGGUUGAAGGAGCUGGCACAUUUUUGUGGUAGAAAGAUCUUAGCAUUUGGAAGACCUCUGGGUUAGGUUUCACUGACUCUGAGGGAGUUCUUUCGAAGUCCCAGGGAGGACUUGGUGUACUCUUUGACUCCUGGCUUUGCCAGGAUGCCCAGUAAUGUCUUUUGUGUUCUAGGCUGCAGUGUGUGUUGCAAAUCUUCUUGGAAUCAGCUACAGGACCUGUGCCGCCUGGCCAAGCUCUCAUGCCCUGCCCUCGGAAUCUCCAAGAGGAAUCUCUAUGACUUUGAAGUCGAAUACCUGUGUGAUUACAAGAAGAUCCGCGAACAGGAGUAUUACCUGGUAAAAUGGCGUGGAUACCCAGAGUCAGAGAGUACCUGGGAGCCACGGCAGAAUCUCAAGUGUGUGCGCAUUCUCAAGCAGUUCCACAAGGACUUAGAACGAGAGUUGGUCCGGCGGCGCCACCGGUCAAAGCCACCCCGGCACCUGGACCCAAGCUUGGCCAGCUACCUGGUGCAGAAGGCCAAGCAGAGACGGGCACUCCAGCUCUGGGAGCAGGAGCUCAAUGCCAAACGCAACCAUCUGGGACGCAUCACUGUGGAGAAUGAGGUGGAUCUGGAUGGCCCCCCUCGAGCCUUUGUAUACAUUAACGAGUACCGCGUUGGUGAGGGCAUCACCCUCAACCAGGUGGCCGUGGGCUGUGAGUGUAAGGACUGCUUGUGGGCACCUGCUGGAGGCUGCUGCCCCGGGGCAUCGCUGCACAAGUUUGCCUACAAUGACCAGGGCCAGGUGCGGCUGCGAGCUGGGCUGCCCAUCUACGAGUGCAACUCCCGUUGCCGCUGUGGCUAUGACUGCCCCAACCGUGUGGUACAGAAGGGCAUCCGCUACAACCUCUGCAUCUUCCGCACGGAUGAUGGGCGUGGCUGGGGCGUCCGCACACUGGAGAAGAUCCGCAAGAACAGCUUCGUCAUGGAGUACGUGGGAGAGAUUAUUACUUCGGAGGAGGCGGAGCGGCGGGGCCAGAUCUACGACCGCCAGGGUGCUACAUACCUCUUCGACCUGGACUACGUGGAGGAUGUGUACACUGUGGAUGCCGCCUAUUAUGGCAACAUCUCCCACUUUGUCAACCACAGUUGCGACCCCAACCUCCAGGUGUACAACGUCUUCAUAGACAACCUUGAUGAGCGGCUGCCCCGCAUUGCUUUCUUUGCCACAAGAACCAUCUGGGCAGGCGAGGAGCUCACUUUUGAUUACAACAUGCAAGUGGACCCCGUGGACAUGGAGAGCACCCGCAUGGACUCCAACUUUGGCCUGGCUGUGCUCCCCGGCUCCCCCAAGAAGCGGGUCCGUAUUGAAUGCAAGUGUGGGACUGAAUCCUGCCGCAAAUACCUCUUCUAGCCCUUCGAAAUCUGAGGCCAGACUGACUGUGGGGGCCUAAAGCCCAUCUCACCCACCCCUGUACCCACUUGCCCUCCUGUUGAGGAAUGACUGCCAGGGCCUCCCGCCUGCUUCCACCCGCCCCCACCUGCCCUGUGCUUCUUGGGGUUGUGGUGAGGACUGAUUUUCAGAAAUCCCCUCUCCCCGUCCCAGCUCCAUGGGUUGCACUUAACAACCCUCUGUCCAUUUUGCGAAGUAAGUUGUCAACAUCAGGAGUUUCUGCAGUUGAGAUUCACAGCCUAUCAAGGGGGUCCCAGGGGUGAAUCCCAGCCCCAGAAUAGAAAGGUGGUUAUUCACCUGCUUCAGCCUGGAGCUUGAGAGGUCUGUUGCAGGCCCUCUCCCUACUGCUCCAGGAGUGUGGAAGCCACCCCAGCGCAGGCUGACAUCAGAGUUCAGACUUCCCAGCCCACUUGGUGAAAGAAAGAGGGUUUGUAGGGCUGGGGACUGGUUUCUGCUUAUGCUCACAUGUAGGCUUUGCAUCCCAGAAGUAGCUGCCCACAUGCCACUGGAAGGAGAGUGGAUGCCCAUGGCUCACUGGUCACUGGCCAAUGAGAGGAAGGCAGUCCAGACUCUCCGAACCCUUAAGGUGGACUGGGAUUGAGCUCUGCCCAUGAGGUGCACAGAAGGCGCCUGGGAGCCCCGUCGGCGUGUGACGACUGCUGGGACUACUCAGAGCUGGAACCAAGACCUAGGGCCAGACCAAAUGAUUUCUCGGGUCUUAUAUGGCCUCGACCCGGAUGUUCCCCACCCCUGUCCUAGACAAUCCAGGAUAACCGCCCAUCUCAGGAUGCUUGCCUACUAUGUAUCUGCCAAGUCCCCUUUUCCAGGUCAGAAGACUGACAAGGAGUCUUACAAGGGUAAAAGUCAAGCUCUCUCUUGGGUCCUCGUUUCCAAGAUGACCAAGAAAAGAAGGAAUAAUGGUCAUGCCAAAAAAGGCUGUGGUCAUGUGCAGCCUAUUCAUUGCACCAACUGCACCUGAUGUGUGCCCAAGGAUAAGGCCAUUACGAAGUUCAUCAUUCGAAACAUAGUAGAGGCCACAGCCAUUAGGGACAUCUCCAAAGCAAGGAUCUUCAACGUCUAUGUGCUUCCGAAGCUGUAUGUGAAAGUACAUGACUGUGUGAGCUGUGCCAUUCACAGCAAGGUAGUAAGGAAUCGCUCUCGUGAAGCCCGGAAGGACCAACCGGAUUCAAACCUGCGGGUGCUGCCCCACCACUUUCACCAAAGCCCAUGUAAGGAGGUAAGUCCUUGAGGACUGAAGAAAAGUUCUCUGGGGGAAAAAUAAAUGGAAAUUGUACUUUAAAAAAAA
RNA transcript from Myotis lucifugus (little brown bat), 4069 nucleotides. It is a transcript of the gene named suppressor of variegation 3-9 homolog 1, with no coding region annotated. The transcript is spliced from 7 exons. Lineage: Eukaryota; Metazoa; Chordata; Mammalia; Chiroptera; Vespertilionidae. The record is from RefSeq and is a predicted model, not a curated record.